Molecule: ribosomal RNA, 549 nt
Filed under: Paecilomyces niveus
Lineage: Eukaryota; Fungi; Ascomycota; Eurotiomycetes; Eurotiales; Thermoascaceae
Description: eukaryotic LSU rRNA
Rfam family: 5.8S ribosomal RNA (bases 196-349)
Source: RNAcentral
GGAAGGAUCAUUACCGAGUGCGGGUCCCUCGUGGCCCAACCUCCCAUCCGUGUUGACCGACACCUGUUGCUUCGGCGGGCCCGCCAGGGCUCCCGCCCCGGCCGCCGGGGGGCAUCGCCCCCGGGCCCGCGCCCGCCGAAGACCCCUCGAACGCUGCCUUGAAGGUUGCCGUCUGAGUAUCAAAUCAAUCGUUAAAACUUUCAACAACGGAUCUCUUGGUUCCGGCAUCGAUGAAGAACGCAGCGAAAUGCGAUAAGUAAUGUGAAUUGCAGAAUUCCGUGAAUCAUCGAAUCUUUGAACGCACAUUGCGCCCCCUGGCAUUCCGGGGGGCAUGCCUGUCCGAGCGUCAUUGCUAACCCUCCAGCCCGGCUGGUGUGUUGGGCCGUCGUCCCCUCCGGGGGACGGGCCCGAAAGGCAGCGGCGGCGCCGCGUCCGGUCCUCGAGCGUAUGGGGCUUUGUCACGCGCUCUGGUAGGCCCGGCCGGCUUGCUGGCCAACGACCUCACGGUCACCUAACUUCUCUCUUAGGUUGACCUCGGAUCAGGUAGGG